RNAcentral lists this ribosomal RNA (1206 nucleotides) under Triticum aestivum (bread wheat). RNAcentral's name for it is "partial small subunit ribosomal RNA". The record is from RNAcentral. Lineage: Eukaryota; Viridiplantae; Streptophyta; Magnoliopsida; Poales; Poaceae.
AUGGAGGCGAACGGGCGCGGCGGGGACAAUGACGCCGCGCGGGCGCCGCUCCUGGCGGGGCGGCGGUGGAACUCGGUGGGGUCGAUGCGCGGGGAGUUCGUGUCGCGGCUCCCCAAGAAGGUGCUCGACGCCGUCGACCCGGAGAGGCCCUCCCACGUCGACUUCUCCCGCUCCAAGGGCCUCCUGGAAGGAGAGAAAGAAUACUACGAGAAACAAUUUGCCACCUUGAGAUCCUUUGAGGAAGUUGACUCUAUAGAAGAAUCCAAUGUAAUAAGUGAAGAAGAGGAGCUCAUGGAGCAAAGGCAGAGUGAAUUUGCUAUGAAGAUAUCAAAUUAUGCAAAUGUUGUUCUCUUGGCAUUGAAGAUAUAUGCCACAGUUAAAAGUGGGUCAAUUGCUAUUGCUGCAUCAACACUUGAUUCAUUGCUCGACCUCAUGGCUGGUGGUAUCCUUUGGUUCACACAUCUCUCAAUGAAGAGCAUCAACGUCUACAAGUAUCCCAUUGGUAAAUUGAGGGUACAACCAGUAGGCAUUAUCAUCUUCGCAGCUGUUAUGGCUACUUUAGGAUUCCAAGUAUUUCUUCAAGCAGUUGAAAAGCUGGUAGUGAACGUGACUCCAGAUAAAUUGUCCCCACCACAACUCAUGUGGCUAUAUUCAAUCAUGAUCUUUGCAACAGUAGUUAAGCUAGCCCUGUGGUUCUACUGCCGGACCUCUGGUAACAACAUAGUCCGCGCCUAUGCUAAGGAUCAUUAUUUUGAUGUGGUCACGAAUGUCGUUGGUUUGGCUGCUGCUGUUCUCGGUGACAUGUUUUACUGGUGGAUUGACCCAGUUGGUGCAAUCGUCCUUGCAGUCUAUACAAUUACAAACUGGUCUGGAACAGUGUGGGAAAAUGCAGUAUCGCUAGUAGGUGAAUCAGCUCCCCCAGAAAUGCUGCAGAAGUUGACAUACCUAGCUAUCAGACAUGACCCUCAAAUUAAGCGUGUUGAUACAGUUCGGGCAUACACCUUUGGGGUGCUUUACUUUGUGGAGGUCGAUAUUGAGCUCCCGGAGGACUUGCCACUCAAGGAGGCGCAUGCCAUUGGAGAAUCACUCCAGAUAAAGAUCGAGGAACUUCCAGAAGUCGAGCGGGCAUUCGUUCACCUUGAUUUCGAGUGUGACCACAAGCCAGAGCACUCGAUCCUCAGCAAGCUUCCUAGCAGCCAGCCUUGA